RNAcentral lists this ribosomal RNA (1273 nucleotides) under metagenome. RNAcentral describes it as "SSU rRNA". It matches the Rfam family "Eukaryotic small subunit ribosomal RNA", at positions 483 to 1774 of the family's 1831-position model. The record is from RNAcentral.
AUACCGGGUCUUUUCAGGUCUGGUAAUUGGAAUGAGUACAAUCCAAACACCUUAACGAGGAUCCAUUGGAGGGCAAGUCUGGUGCCAGCAGCCGCGGUAACACCAGCUCCAAUAGCGUAUAUUAAAGUUGUUGCAGUUAAAAAGCUCGUAGUUGGAUUUCUGGUCUGGAUUGCCUGGUCCGUCCCAAACGGGAUGUUGACCGGUUGUGGUCCAGCCAUUCUUCGUGGAGAACUUAAUGGCUCUUGACUGAGUUUCAUUAAGGGAUCCCGAUCAUUUACUUUGAGAAAAUUAGAGUGUUCAAAGCAGGCUUAUGCCUUGAAUACAUUAGCAUGGAAUAAUAAGAUAAGACUUUGGUCUUGUUUUGUUGGUUUCUAAGACUGAAGUAAUGAUUGAUAGGGAUAGUUGGGGGUGCUCGUAUUCAACGGCCAGAGGUGAAAUUCAGUGAUUCGUUGAAGACGAACUUAUGCGAAAGCAUUCACCAAGGAUGUCUUCUUUAAUCAAGAACGAAAGUUGCGGGAGCGAAGACGAUCAGAUACCGUCGUAGUCCCAACCAUAAACGAUGCCGACUAGGGACUGGUGGAUGUUAGUUUUUGACUCCAUCAGCACCUUCCGAGAAAUCAAAGUCUUUGGGUCCCGGGGGGAGUAUGUCGCAAGGCUGAAACUUAAAGGAAUUGACGGAAGGGCACCACAAGGAGUGGAGCCUGCGGCUUAAUUUGACCCAACACGGGAAAACUUACCAGGUCCAGACAUAGUAAGGAUUGACAGAUAGCAGCUCUUUCUUGAUUCUAUGGGUGGUGGUGCAUGGCCGUUCUUAGUUGGUGGAGUGAUCUGUCUGGUUGAUUCCGUUAACGAACGAGACCUCAGCCUGCUAAAUAGUUGAGCCAAUGUUGCAUUGGCGAUCAACUUCUUAGAGGGACUUUGGGUGUCGAGCCCAAGGAAGUUUGAGGCAAUAACAGGUCUGUGAUGCCCUUAGAUGUUCUGGGCUGCACGCGCGCUACACUGGUGCAUUCAACGAGUUUACAACCUUGAUCGAGAGAUCUGGGUAAUCUUUGAAAAUGCACCGUGCUUGGGCUAGAUUAUUGCAAUUAUUAAUCUUAAACGAGGAAUUCCUAGUAAGCGCGAGUCAUCAGCUCGCACUGAUUACGUCCCUGCCCUUUGUACACACCGCCCGUCGCUCCUACCGAUUGAAUGAUCCGGUGAAAUCAACGGACUGCGGCGAAUAUGCAUUCGUGCAUUGUUCAGCUGUCGGGAAGUGGAUUAAACCUUAUCAUUU